AACUUUUGAAGGUGGAUCUCUUGGCUCACGCAUCGAUGAAGAACGCAGCCAGCUGCGAUAAGUAGUGUGAAUUGCAGAAUUCAGUGAAUCAUCGAAUCUUUGAACGCAAAUGGCGCUCUUGGGUUCUCCCAGGAGCAUGUCUGUCUGAGUGUCGGAUUGUCAUCCCUC
RNAcentral lists this ribosomal RNA (168 nucleotides) under Merulina ampliata. RNAcentral's name for it is "5.8S ribosomal RNA". It matches the Rfam family "5.8S ribosomal RNA". From Rfam's summary of the family: 5.8S ribosomal RNA (5.8S rRNA) is a component of the large subunit of the eukaryotic ribosome. It is transcribed by RNA polymerase I as part of the 45S precursor that also contains 18S and 28S rRNA. The record is from RNAcentral. Lineage: Eukaryota; Metazoa; Cnidaria; Anthozoa; Scleractinia; Merulinidae.